This 850-nucleotide long non-coding RNA is filed under the name Pan troglodytes (chimpanzee). RNAcentral's name for it is "lincRNA". Lineage: Eukaryota; Metazoa; Chordata; Mammalia; Primates; Hominidae. The record is from RNAcentral.
AGGAGAGGCGGAGAAGGAACCGAGCGGGCAGUUGAGGGAAAUCUCGGAGGAGGUUACCUGCGAUCAAACUGGGGCUGCGUAGUGUUAGGGUCAGGCAGCUUUGAAGUGGAAUCCGGAUCCGCCACCUUCGCUGCGUGAUAUUGGGCAUGCCAUCAAAGCGCUCUCAACCGAACGUCUCGGGUAAAAUGGGAUUAGUGAAGUCUACCAAGGUAGUUGUGAGGAUCAAAAGAGAUAACGCGGAAAACGCCUCACCUGGCACGUUAUAGAUCCUAAAUGCCUAGCUAUUAUUAUGGAGCCCACAACCUCCAUAUUGUACAACUGGGAACACGGGACUCAAAGAGAUUAAAUAAACUAAAUGACUCACUCAAGGUCAGGUAGUGGUGGAGACCCAGGCUUCAAGUUCAAUACUCUUUGUCCUACAAAGCCUUCCCUUAAGCAGGGGUAAUAAAACAUUUCAGAAAAACCACCUUAACGAGCAUCGCUUGUGAUCUGUGGAUCACUUGGUAGUCCCCACCUCCCUCCCAUCCCCGCAAAAGUUUAGAGCUGGACAUAAGGGCCUUGGUGCAACUUUUGGAGGGCAGUUGUUCAGCUUCUGAAUUUGCAUCUGAACGAGCAAUAAGGAAUUUUCUGGGAAGUUUAGAAUUUCCAAUAAAUCUUGGAUUACUCUAAAAUGCACCAGAAAUUACAUGGUCACACUCGUGCAAUGAAAGAAGGCUUUGGCAGUAGCAUAAGACAUUAAGAAGAAGUAGGAAAUGCAGUGAGGAAGAAGUUGUAAUGUUUUCAACAGCUGCCACUAUGGAUCUAGGAUGAGAGCUUUCCACAUGUUGUUAAGAAUGAGAGACAGAUUACU